Molecule: transfer RNA, 77 nt
Filed under: Gammaproteobacteria bacterium
Lineage: Bacteria; Pseudomonadati; Pseudomonadota; Gammaproteobacteria
Also listed under: 4 other names
Description: tRNA-Pro
Rfam family: tRNA
About the family: Transfer RNA (tRNA) molecules are approximately 80 nucleotides in length. Their secondary structure includes four short double-helical elements and three loops (D, anti-codon, and T loops).
Source: RNAcentral
CGGAGCGUGGCGCAGUUUGGUAGCGCGCCAGUUUUGGGAACUGGAAGUCGCAGGUUCGAAUCCUGUCGCUCCGACCA